UUCAUAUAUUGUCUUUGCAGCAGUUACAGGUCCAUAUGCAUGCUUCAUAACACCAGUGAAUUCGUUCAACCAUGAUGGCUCGACUUCGUGCAUCUCCACAUCUUGACCUCUUUCAGCAUGGGGAUUUGCAGGAAGGCAGAAAUCCUCAUGCAUAACAUGAGGGAAGAAAUCCUUCCUGCGUUUACUGCAAACAGGACAAAGGUCCAUCCCAUCACCAUUAGAAUGAUUUGACUGUGAAGAUAAAUUCAAACUCGAAACAUUAAGUGACUUUUUA
Molecule: long non-coding RNA, 274 nt
Filed under: Musa acuminata (dwarf banana)
Lineage: Eukaryota; Viridiplantae; Streptophyta; Magnoliopsida; Zingiberales; Musaceae
Description: long non-coding RNA (MACU_LNC003866)
Source: RNAcentral